GAUGAACGCUGGCGGCGUGCCUAAUACAUGCAAGUCGAGCGAACAGAUAAGGAGCUUGCUCCUUUGAAGUUAGCGGCGGACGGGUGAGUAACACGUGGGUAACCUACCUAUAAGACUGGGAUAACUUCGGGAAACCGGAGCUAAUACCGGAUAACAUUUAGAACCGCAUGGUUCUAAAGUGAAAGAUGGUUUUGCUAUCACUUAUAGAUGGACCCGCGCCGUAUUGGCUAGUUGGUAAGGUAACGGCUUACCAAGGCGACGAUACGUAGCCGACCUGAGAGGGUGAUCGGCCACACUGGAACUGAGACACGGUCCAGACUCCUACGGGAGGCAGCAGUAGGGAAUCUUCCGCAAUGGGCGAAAGCCUGACGGAGCAACGCCGCGUGAGUGAUGAAGGGUUUCGGCUCGUAAAACUCUGUUAUUAGGGAAGAACAAAUGUGUAAGUAACUGUGCACAUCUUGACGGUACCUAAUCAGAAAGCCACGGCUAACUACGUG
RNAcentral lists this ribosomal RNA (497 nucleotides) under uncultured bacterium. RNAcentral describes it as "partial 16S ribosomal RNA". It matches the Rfam family "Bacterial small subunit ribosomal RNA", at positions 28 to 507 of the family's 1533-position model. The record is from RNAcentral.